Long non-coding RNA from Micropterus dolomieu (smallmouth bass), 652 nucleotides. RefSeq lists it as uncharacterized. Lineage: Eukaryota; Metazoa; Chordata; Actinopteri; Centrarchiformes; Centrarchidae. The transcript has 3 exons. The record is from RefSeq and is a predicted model, not a curated record.
GUACAAUUUGUUUUCUGUUUCUGCAGCUUGAACCUGUGUUCCAAAGGGCUUUCCCUUCCUCCUUCAACUCCUUGGACGUGGUAUCAUUCAGAAAUGGCUCAAUCAUCAACGAAAUGAAUGUUCGCUUUGCAAGCACAUUUGUUCCUAAUAACACUCAGAUUGCAAGUGUUUUGAUCAGUGCUGCUUCAACCGUCACCGGCUUUGACAUUGAAGGCAGCUCAAUCAACGUGAAUGGCACACCAUCAGGUGGAGUAAGCCACAAGAUCAGUUUCAUUACCGCAUCCUGCCUGGUACUGUUGUCAUGGAUUCUGUCAAGCCAGCGAUAGCAUCAGUAUUAAUUUCAGUUCUUGUAGAUCAUUAGAGUAUAAGCUAAACAAAACUUUCUUUCUCUAAAGCACUGCAAUGUCACUAAAUAAUGUCACUAUUUUACUAUUUCUGUAAAAGGUAAUGUCAGUGUGUCUUGCUAUUCUGAGCACUGUGUUAUUAACUUAGUGUAAUUUACUAAAAAAGGGACUAAAAGGGGCUUUGUUGUUAGUAAGUUUUUUUUUAACAUGCAAAUUGAAAAAUCAGAAUGCUAGAUUUCAAACUGGACAGUUCGUGAAGUUACUCUUUAUCAAGGUUUUUACUUUAACAUAAAAUGAUUUAAGGGUCA